UACGGAGGGUGCGAGCGUUGUCCGGAAUCACUGGGCGUAAAGGGCGCGUAGGCGGCUCAUGAAGGCUGUGGUGAAAGUCCGGGGCUCAACCUCGGAUCGGCCGUGGCGACUCGUGGGCUGGAGCACUGUAGAGGCGGGUGGAAUUCCGGGUGUAGCGGUGGAAUGCGUAGAGAUCCGGAAGAACACCAGUGGCGAAGGCGGCCCGCUGGGCAGUGGCUGACGCUGAGGAGCGAAAGCGUGGGGAGCGAACAGG
This 253-nucleotide ribosomal RNA is filed under the name uncultured bacterium. RNAcentral describes it as "partial 16S ribosomal RNA". It matches the Rfam family "Bacterial small subunit ribosomal RNA", at positions 524 to 776 of the family's 1533-position model. The record is from RNAcentral.